UGCGGCGCGCUUAAGCAUGCAAGUCGAGCGGUAAGAUUGGUGCUUGCACUAAUCCUAGAGCGGCGGACUGGUGAGUAACGCGUGGGUGACGUACCUUUGUGACGGGGACAGCUCCUAGAAAUAGGAGAUAAUACCGGAUACGCUGCAUGUUGUCAGAGGACAUGCAGGAAAGAUCUUUUUGAUUCGCACGAAGAGCGGCCCGCGUACUAUUAGCUAGUUGGUGAGGUAACGGCCCACCAAGGCAACGAUAGUUACCCGGCCUAAGAGGGUGAUCGGGCACAUUGGGACUGAGAUACGGCCCAGACUCCUACGGGAGGCAGCAGCUAAGAAUAUUCCGCAAUGGACGAAAGUCUGACGGAGCGACGCCGCGUGGAUGAUGAAGGCCGGAAGGUUUGUAAAAUCCUUUUAUGACUGAGGAAUAAGCAGAGUGAGAGAAACGCUUUGUGGUGACUGCAGGUCAUGAAUAAGCAACGGCUAAUUACGUGCCAGCAGCUGC
This 496-nucleotide ribosomal RNA is filed under the name uncultured bacterium. Its description in RNAcentral is "bacterial SSU rRNA". It matches the Rfam family "Bacterial small subunit ribosomal RNA", at positions 39 to 518 of the family's 1533-position model. The record is from RNAcentral.